This 466-nucleotide ribosomal RNA is filed under the name uncultured bacterium. RNAcentral's name for it is "partial 16S ribosomal RNA". It matches the Rfam family "Bacterial small subunit ribosomal RNA", at positions 330 to 793 of the family's 1533-position model. The record is from RNAcentral.
ACCAGACUCCUACGGGAGGCAGCAGUGAGGAAUGUUGGUCAAUGGGCGGAAGCCUGAACCAGCCAAGUCGCGUGAGGGAAGAAGGCCCUGCGGGUCGCAGACCUCUUUGGACGGGGAGCAAGGCCGCCGACGUGUCGGCGGAAGGAGAGUACCCGUAGAACAAGCAUCGGCUAACUCCGUGCCAGCAGCCGCGGUAAUACGGAGGAUGCGAGCGUUAUCCGGAUUUAUUGGGUUUAAAGGGUGCGUAGGCGGUAUUUUAAGUUAGUGGUAAAACGUCGGGGCUUCACCUUGAUUGGCCAUUAAAACUGGAGUACUAGAGUACAGACGAGGUAGGCGGAAUAAGUUAAGUAGCGGUGAAAUGCAUAGAUAUCACGCAGAACUCCGAUUGCGAAGGCAGCAUACCGGCGCCCAACUGACGCUGAAGCACGAAAGCGUGGGUAUCGAACAGGAUUAGAUACCCUGGUAU